RNAcentral lists this ribosomal RNA (500 nucleotides) under uncultured bacterium. Its description in RNAcentral is "partial 16S ribosomal RNA". It matches the Rfam family "Bacterial small subunit ribosomal RNA", at positions 30 to 523 of the family's 1533-position model. The record is from RNAcentral.
AUUGAACGCUGGCGGAAUGCUUUACACAUGCAAGUCGAACGGCAGCACGGACUUCGGUCUAGUGGCGAGUGGCGAACGGGUGAGUAAGGUAUCGGAAGGUGCCUAGCCGUGGGGGAUACGGUAGUAAAAAUUCGGUGAUUACGGCAUACGAUCAAUGGUUGAAAGCGGGGUACAGCAAGGCCACAGCCGUUUGGACGGGCGCAUAUCAGAUUAGGUAGUUGGUGGGGUAAAGGCCCACCAAGCCAACGAUCUGUAGCUGGUCUGAGAGGACGACCAGCCACACUGGAACUGAGACACGGUCCAGACUCCUACGGGAGGCAGCAGUGGGGAAUUUUGGACAAUGGGCGAAAGCCUGAUCCAGCCAUUCCGCGUGCAGGAUGAAGGCCCUCGGGUUGUAAACUGCUUUUGUACAGAACGAAAAGGUUUCUACUAAUACUAGGAGCUCAUGACGGUACUGUAAGAAUAAGCACCGGCUAACUACGUGCCAGCCGCCGCUGUAA